GCAAAACAAUCAGAAAACAUUUAUUAUACUGAAAUGUGUACAUCCUACUAUUAAAAAAACAAAGUAACAAAUUUGCUGGUGCCAAAAUUUAUUUAGCCUGUUUCACUGGGACAAACUCACGUUCAAUGCCACUCAGUAUAAUUUCAAGUCUGAUAAGCAUCUAAGUAUUUUUACCCCGCUUCUAAAACCUGAUGAGGAAUUCAAAAUAAGCACACAGCAUUAAAUGACAUUUAUUGUUCCAUAAAUCUUGAGACCCAAAAAGGAAUGCUAAAUAGACAAGCAAAACUUUUAAAACAAACGAGAUAAACUCACUUCUUUCCCCAGUGACUGGUACAGAAAACAUGUGGUCACACGAAAGCAAAGGGAAAAAGUCAGAAAGGAAAACUCUCUGCCUAUAGGAUCUAUAGGAGUUACAGAUAUUUUCAAAUCGAUGAUGAAAAUAGAUCGUGCUUCUUUGUAGCAAAUAAUUAACCCCCUUUAUGAAUAAAACAUAAAAUGUCAAAGCUUUUACUCACUGAAGUAGUUUGUCUUCUGGGAGAGAUUUCAAACUCAAAAUUACUCAUUUCCUAUUUUUUGCCUGAACACAAUGAGGAUCAAAUAGUACAUUCAAAUCAGGACACCUGGGUAUAUGGACAAAGAUAUCCUACAAUUAAAAUGGAAUAGAAGUUAAAAAAAAAAUUCAGUCCCCUACACCACAGGCCUCAAACAUGCUUGCUGAUGGAUUCUGGGAAGGUUUUGGAUGAAGGACGGAGAUAUGGGAGGAAAGUGAGAAAACAGUGGAUUCCCUUUGAAAAGUAUGCUAGCAGACAAGCAUUUGGUUUUAUGAAAGAGGCACUCUUAUAGAGAAAGAAGCUAGUAUGUGGUGUAUAAAAAGCCCCUAAAUCAUCACCAGAAUGUCUAUCCAUGAUUGUACUAAAGCUCAAUAUUUGAGAGGCUUAAGGGAUUUGUAUGGUACAUUUUAGUGUUUGAUUGAUAACAUCUAGUGUUUCCAGAAAAAAAUUCAUCUUGUUCAUAAUGAAGAUCCCUUAACACCUAGUCAGAAGCUAUCAACAAUAAUACUUUCUCCCCCUACUUGGGUCACCUAUUUCCAAUGUCUGGGGUAGGGCUUUAAAAAUGUUUAAUAGGAUGGUGGGGGUGGGGGGUUAGGGUGGGGGUGGUCAGCAUAAGGUUCAGGCAAUAAAAGCC
RNAcentral lists this long non-coding RNA (1185 nucleotides) under Homo sapiens (human). RNAcentral describes it as "HSALNT0052794". Lineage: Eukaryota; Metazoa; Chordata; Mammalia; Primates; Hominidae. The record is from RNAcentral.